RNAcentral lists this ribosomal RNA (497 nucleotides) under uncultured bacterium. RNAcentral describes it as "partial 16S ribosomal RNA". It matches the Rfam family "Bacterial small subunit ribosomal RNA", at positions 28 to 507 of the family's 1533-position model. The record is from RNAcentral.
GAUGAACGCUGGCGGCGUGCCUAAUACAUGCAAGUCGAGCGAACAGACGAGGAGCUUGCUCCUUUGACGUUAGCGGCGGACGGGUGAGUAACACGUAGGUAACCUACCUAUAAGACUGGGAUAACUUCGGGAAACCGGAGCUAAUACCGGAUAAUAUUUCGAACCGCAUGGUUCGAUAGUGAAAGAUGGCUUUGCUAUCACUUAUAGAUGGACCUGCGCCGUAUUAGCUAGUUGGUAAGGUAACGGCUUACCAAGGCAACGAUACGUAGCCGACCUGAGAGGGGGAACGGCCAAACUGGAACUGAGACAAGGUCCAGACUCCUAAGGGAGGCAGCAGUAGGGAAUCUUCCGCAAUGGGCGGAAGCCUGAAGGAGCAAAGCCGCGUGAGUGAUGAAGGUCUUCGGAUCGUAAAAAUCUGUUAUUAGGGAAGAACAAACGUGUAAGUAACUGUGCACGUCUUGACGGUACCUAAUCAGAAAGCCACGGCUAACUACGUG